AUACCGUCUCGUAUUACUAUCGAC
This 24-nucleotide non-coding RNA is filed under the name Arabidopsis thaliana (thale cress). Lineage: Eukaryota; Viridiplantae; Streptophyta; Magnoliopsida; Brassicales; Brassicaceae. The record is from RNAcentral.